AUGAACACUUUAUCAUUAAUUACAAUUAAAAAAGCCACAUACAUAUAUAUACAUAUAUUUUUAUUAUGUAAGACAUAUAAGUAAAGCACCAUAUACAUUUAUCUUUAUAAAAUUAUACUUCAUUGCAAAAUAGUUAAGAAAAAUAAGUGUCAAUGGUAUACUUGUAAACAGUAAGAUUUUUAUUUAAGGAACCCCUUAUUUUGAUGUGACUAUUGUUUGGUUCUCUAAAUGGAGGCUCAAAUGUAUUACUUGGAGAUGUGCUUUGUUUGAAUUCUUAACAGCCUACUGUUGGCAAUAUCACUCAAGUCCAAUGUGUAGGAGUUUUUAUGUAAGUAUUUUUCUCUAACUCGGUGUUAUAUAUGUGUUUCUAAAUUUUGUUAGAGGCUAGUCAGAGGCAGAGGUUGAUUUAUACUUGUAAUAAUUUUUAUUGGAAUAUAUUAUAGGAUUGGAAUUGGACCGGAAGUCACGUAAAGAGGAAGAGGAAGAGAAAGAUAAAUACUUUUUUGAUCCCUACGAAGAUGACUUGGAGAAAAGAUCUUGCAAAAUUGCCUAUGGUGAUGGAAAGGAUGACUGCUGCAAGUCUAGUAAAUCUAAAAAACUUAGACCACUACCUAAAUAUAAUGACAUAUUGGAUUGAAUACGUAGUGAACAAACAGUCUUCAGUAGCUGAAGUGGAACCUGCCGCUGCAUCAGAUCUAAAACUUUUACUGGUGUGGAAGUUCCGUCCAAGCUCUGUCCAAGCUCCCCCAUACCAGCCAAAGCUCCAAUAAAAAUUUUCUUCAGCUUAAGUUAUGAUGGAAGAGAGUAGUGGUUCAAUCGAUGUAAAGAAGAAUAGUGAUUCAAUCGUUGUGAAGAAGAGAAAAUGUCAAUGCGGGGCUGAAUGUGUAGUAAGAAAAAAUAAAAAUAAUGGCGAAUUAUUUUAUGGUUGUCCGUUGUGGAAGGUAAUUAAUUUUUGUUGAAUUUUAAGAAUUCAAGCACAUAUAUUAUAUGAUAAACUUUAUUGAUUAUUUGCUAUAUGCAGAAUAAAACUGAUCAAGGCUGUAGAUUUCAAGGACUUGUUGAAGAUGAAAGGUCGACCGCUUUAAAAUCAUUUGAUACCAAAGAAAUAAAUCGAUUGUUGGCGGCAAUAAAUUCAAUUGUGCAGUUAUUGUUGGAGAUGAACAUUGUUUUUAAUAAAAUAGUUGAUUUGUUGUCGAAGAUGAAUAUUAUGUUUGCUAAAAUGUUACAAUGUAUAAUUAUUUAUUUUGUUAUAUAUUUGUUAUUUAAAUGUUUGUAUAUGUGAAAGUUCAAUAAUAAAUAUUUUUAUGUAGUAUUGAGUGUUAUCGAUCAGUAAAUAUAAUUUAAAUUAUAGUAAUAUUUUUAAUUUUAAUUUUAAUUUUUAUUAUAUUAACAUGUAAUGAAAAAAACAAAAAAGCAUUAGAGGCGAAUUGGUCUGCCGCUACUAAUAAUGUCAGUUUAUGUGUCUGACACUAUUAUUAGCGGUGGAGGUGUCAGUCUGCUGCUAAUACCCAUUUUUAGCGACCAAGCAUUACCGGCGGACCCCGCCGCUAUUAAGUUUUACCAGCGAACUUGGGGAUUAUUACCAGCGGAAUCCUCCACC
Cannabis sativa is the source of this 1600-nucleotide long non-coding RNA. RefSeq lists it as uncharacterized. NCBI's taxonomy places the organism in Eukaryota, Viridiplantae, Streptophyta, Magnoliopsida, Rosales, Cannabaceae. The transcript has 3 exons. The record is from RefSeq and is a predicted model, not a curated record.